AAACUUCCAACCAUCGGCGGCAGCCUUCCCCAAUCUCGCCGCCUCCUUAACCUCUUCAUCUUUACAUGCUCCUCUCUUCCUCUCGCAGCACACCAAAUUAGGUCAGAGCAGAGCAGGUGGAGGAGCUCUCCUCUGCCUCCCGCUCCUUCCCCGAAGCCUCUUCCUCAUCGCUCUCUACUCCAUCCGUUGGUGUUGCUGUGGUACAAGACAACUCAUAGUCAAUAUAAUUACUCACGCCAUCACAACCUAAUCUGAUGGAGAGGUGGUUGAUUACCGCUACCCAAUAGCAAGCCCCGAAGAAGUGGUCGCCCGCAAUGACGAUCGCCGUCUCCGACCCGCUUCGUCUCCUCUUCAGCGCCUUCUGCUUGCUUCUCUUGCUGGAUCUCGCCCUCUCCCAGAACUCCUCCUCCUGCCCCCUCGACUUCUCCGUGACCCAGAAGUUCGUCUCCGCCGCCGCUUCGUCCCCUAACUCUUCCGACUCUGCCCACAGCUGCACCUACGCCCUCCAGCUCCUCCACCUCACCCUCUCCCAGUACCUGCGUACCGACUCGCUGUUCCACCCCCCCGUCGACGCCGCCGCCGCCUGCUGGACGGCCUUCCAGGCCGCCCUCGCGCCGCUCUUCUCCGCGGCUGACCCCUUCGAUGUCCGCACCGGAUGCGGGUUCCGCACCGAGUGGAUCGCCCAGGGGUGCAUGAACAUCACCUCCCGGCAGGAUUUCGAGAACGUGGUGCCGUCCGCCGGCAUCAGCGACAUGGACCGCAACUGCAACCAGUCCUUCCAGACCACGCCCGCCUGCACCGCCUGCACCGUCAGCCUAAACCGCGUCAAGGCCGCCUACCUUCCCGGUCCUAACCACGGGAAUGUCUCCGACUGCGCCUCCUACCCCGCCAUCUACGCCGGCGGCGCCAUUAGCAGCUUGGGCCCCUCGGACGGCGCCAACGCCUACUGCUUCUUCCUCCUCAGCCCCAACACGUCUGCCCCUUCCCCCUCCGGCGGCGGCUCCAGCACUUGGAUCUACGGCGUCGCCGCCGGCUGCUUCGUGCUCCUCCUGCUCGCCGCUCUCGCGGCUUGGUUCUGGGUCAGACGCUAUCUGAAUCGGCGGAGGAAGCUGCGGAGGAAGCCCUCGAAGCCGGAGGUCGAACCCUCGCUGGCACUGGAGUCGAUCAGCGCGAGCACAACCCUAGUCAAGUUCAGAUUCGACGACAUCAAGCAGGCCACUAAGAACUUCUCCAGGGACAACAUCAUCGGCCGCGGAGGCUACGGCAACGUCUACAAGGGCGUGCUGGCCGACGGCACCGAGGUCGCGCUGAAGCGAUUCAAGAACUGCUCGGCCGCAGGGGACGCGAGCUUCGCCCACGAGGUGGAGGUGAUCGCGAGCGUCCGCCACGUGAACCUCGUUGCUCUGCGAGGCUACUGCCUCGCCACCACCCAGAUGGAGGGGCACCAGCGGAUCAUCGUCUGCGACCUGAUGCGGAAUGGGAGCCUCCAUGACCACCUUUUCGGCACAGGGGAUCACCGGCUCAGUUGGCCCUUGCGGCAGAAGAUCGCUCUCGGAACUGCCAGGGGAUUGGCGUACCUGCACGACGGAGUUCAACCGGCCAUAAUCCACAGGGACAUAAAGGCAAGCAACAUUCUUUUGGAUGAGAUGUUUGAGCCCAAAGUAGCGGACUUUGGCUUGGCGAGGUUUGCGCCGGAGGGGAUGUCACAUGUGAGCACCAGGGUGGCUGGAACUCUUGGAUAUGUUGCUCCGGAAUAUGCCUUGUAUGGACAAUUGACUGAGAAGAGUGAUGUGUACAGCUUUGGAGUUGUCUUACUGGAACUCCUCAGUGGAAAGAAGGCAUUUGUUUCCAUGGGUGAGGGACAAGCGUUUGUACUGAGUGACUGGGCUUGGUCAUUGGUUCGAAGAGGGAGGACAAUGGCUGUUCUUGAGGAGGGGAUGGAGGAAUUGGGGCCAACAGAAGUGUUGGAGAAGUAUGUACUUGUUGCUGUCCUUUGUACCCAUCCUCAGUUGCAUGCAAGGCCUAAGAUGGAUCAGAUUGUGAAGAUAUUGGAGACUGAUUUGGCAGUCCCUUCAAUCCCAGACCGGCCAAUCUCAAUUGUGUCGAACAUUGAGGAUAUUGAAAGAUCUGUGAGCAGUAGUGGUUCAGGUCAGCUAUCUAGUUUUGCUGGGUACCAGCCAUUUGCUUUCGGAAAUGAUGAUGUUAGUUCUGAUGAUUCAGAAAAAGCAUGACACCACGGUCAUCUGACUGGACCAGUUCCAGAAUCGUUGGGGAGGCUGAUACAGAAUAAAUUAAUUGCAAGAGAUCUCUCUGGUACUUGGAGAGGAGCAUUUAAGAUCGAUGACGGCCAAUCUUACACUGGUUUAUACUGAUUCGCAGGUGCUCCACCCUCUACGGCUACUCUUGCUAGUCCUUCGAAGCUACCUGGUUUCACUACCGAUAUCUCCAGAGCUGCAAGAUCUCCCUCGGCCCUCUUCGCCUUGUAAACACUCCCCAGACAACCUUCGAGGGACUGACAACAUCUCCUCAAAUGCGUGAUGGACUCCUCCAUUCUCUCUCUCUGUAGAAGGGUGCAAUCUUUGCUCAAUUCGACGAAGAUGAUCAGAUGCUUCUGGUCCGAGUUGGGAUCCAGACAUCAAAUCUCUUUCGGUGAAGUCCUCUGAAGCUUGUUUUGGUGCUCUGGUGAUGAACUCCACUCUCGGGGAGGAGUUAUGGAACCCGACGACCUUGACAACAUCGUUCAGGCGGUAGCGGUACAGCCCUCGGUAAGUAGUCACCACCACCUCGUACAUCUUCCCGACCUCUACACCAGAAAUGUCUACUGUCUCUUUUGCAGCAGAUGAAGCUCCCAAGUCAAAGGGAAGGAACUCGAAGUAGGCUGCACCGGGAAGAAUCACAAAGCUCGUCAGCUCCGGCGGGCGCGUCCUGUCCAUGUUGAUGCCGAUGGGGCACUCCGAAGCGAAGUAGUCGCCGCCCAGCAAUGGCACGCCCUCGCCGGCGUAGUGCUUCAGGGUGGGAUAGUACUGCUCCAUGCUGCCGGUGCUAACACAAGCGAUGUAACGCAGUUCCGGCCACAAAAGGGGAAGAAUCCCAUUCCAAUUCUUUCUGCUGCUGGCUCCCCGAAUCCUCGCGGCCAAGUCUGGCCGCGGCCCACCGAGCAGCUCUUCGACCGCCCUUCUCAUGGCAAGCUCGGUGAUCUCUGAGCUGACCAAGCCGGAUUCGAUGUCAUCGCAGAGCUGCAUCCACUUGGACUCCAACAUGCGCAUCGCCCUGAUCAAGCCAGCUGCGUAAGGGGAUCGAAUGCAGUCGAUGGAGGCAGAGUGCCUGAGGCCGCAGAGGAGGUGGCAGUACAUCUGUUGUUGGGCGUCGGACCCUGUGAUGACCUCGCGGGGGCUAAUGCACAUCGAGAGCAAAGGUGAAGGCGUCGUCGUGGUGGAGUUGCUGUGGAAAGGGUAUGCAGAAGCUGCCAUUACCUUGAAUCCAGCUCUGGUCGUGGUGACAUUUCCGGCGUACAAGAACCACAGAAUCUUACUGCUAGAAGAUCUUGGAGGGAAUAACCUAAGCAAGAGAAGGAAGUCAAGUAUAUGAGAUAAGAGCAGCAUGGUUUCGAGGAUCGACAAGAACACCUGUGAAGGAAGGCCGAGCUGGCUUGGUGAGCAAGACUGGAAGCAGACUUGGCGUGUAUGGAAUCGAAGAAAGGUAUCAGCUUUGGCUUCAUCGUGCUCGUUCCUGAACUGGAAGUAGACCAAGGAAGGAUCAAACCGCAGCUCUAAUCUUUGUAUUCAAGGAGUGGAGCGAGAGAGAGAGAGGAGGCGAGAGACCUAUUGAAGAAGCAGAUGAGGGGAUCGAGGGAGAGGGCGGCCGGCGUCUCGGCGCCGUCGGUGAUCCUCUCGAUCAGAUCCGCGUAGUCGUCGUAGGAAGAGAGAGGGACGAGGCGGCGGAAGGCGGUGGCCACAAGGGCGGGGUCGACUCGGGCGGGAUCAGGGAGGCGGUCGCGGAGGUGAAGGCGGAGGUAGGCGGUGCCGGCGUUGCUCUCGAGGAUCGAGCGGAGGGUCUCCAGCUGGAACCGAAGGGCGUCGCGGGUGGACUCCUCGACCCACCUCGCCGCCUCGGCCGCCGCCGACGUCGCCAUCGGACGGGAUCUGGCAAGGCAGGAUGGGAAACGGGAUUCUCGGUCAACUUCAACGGCGUGCGCGAUUGGGAGUCUCACGAUCCGGUUGGUAUAAAUGCACGCAUGAGUUGUCCGAAGAGAGAGAGAGAGAGAGAGAGAUGCUUUGUUCUUCCUUCUCUCCUUGGGAGUUGGCACGCAUGAGUUGUCCGAAGACCUCUCGAAACUGCAUAAAUUAUUGAAUAAUUGUUUUCCUUAAA
This is an RNA transcript of Musa acuminata AAA Group (dessert banana), 4368 nucleotides long. It is a transcript of the gene named probable LRR receptor-like serine/threonine-protein kinase RKF3, with no coding region annotated. Lineage: Eukaryota; Viridiplantae; Streptophyta; Magnoliopsida; Zingiberales; Musaceae. The transcript has 4 exons. The record is from RefSeq and is a predicted model, not a curated record.